AUUGAACGCUGGCGGCAGGCCUAACACAUGCAAGUCGAGCGGAUGAAGGGAGCUUGCUCCUGGAUUCAGCGGCGGACGGGUGAGUAAUGCCUAGGAAUCUGCCUGGUAGUGGGGGAUAACGUCCGGAAACGGGCGCUAAUACCGCAUACGUCCUGAGGGAGAAAGUGGGGGAUCUUCGGACCUCACGCUAUCAGAUGAGCCUAGGUCGGAUUAGCUAGUUGGUGGGGUAAAGGCCUACCAAGGCGACGAUCCGUAACUGGUCUGAGAGGAUGAUCAGUCACACUGGAACUGAGACACGGUCCAGACUCCUACGGGAGGCAGCAGUGGGGAAUAUUGGACAAUGGGCGAAAGCCUGAUCCAGCCAUGCCGCGUGUGUGAAGAAGGGCUUCGGAUUGUAAAGCACUUUAAGUUGGGAGGAAGGGCAGUAAGUUAAUACCUUGCUGUUUUGACGUUACCAACAGAAUAAGCACCGGCUAACUGCGU
RNAcentral lists this ribosomal RNA (483 nucleotides) under uncultured bacterium. RNAcentral describes it as "partial 16S ribosomal RNA". It matches the Rfam family "Bacterial small subunit ribosomal RNA", at positions 30 to 506 of the family's 1533-position model. The record is from RNAcentral.